CGAGCAUCGCAUAGCCUGCGGGGCUGGAUGCUGACCGCCCGGGCCAGCACCUAGGCGGACGCGGAGCUGUGCAGACCAGGGUUCGCGCGGGCCGGGUGGAGGCUCAAGCGGGGACCCCGGAGCGUGAGCCCCGGAGUCGGCGGCGCUGGGGCCAGAGGGGCCGGGAGGGAGUCGGCUGAGGUGGCGGCGGAGGCGAAGUGGCGGCGGAGGCGAAGGGGCGGCGGGACCCGGGCCUGGCCCGUAUGUGUCCUUGGCGGCCUAGACUAGGCCGUCGCUGUAUGGUGAGCCCCAGGGAGGCGGAUCUGGGCCCCCAGAAGGACACCCGCCUGGAUUUGCCCCGUAGGCCCGGCCCGGGCCCCUCGGGAGCAGAACAGCCUUGGUGAGGUGGACAGGAGGGGACCUCGCGAGCAGACGCGCGCGCCAGCGACAGCAGCCCCGCCCCGGCCUCUCGGGAGCCGGGGGGCAGAGGCUGCGGAGCCCCAGGAGGGUCUAUCAGCCACAGUCUCUGCAUGUUUCCAAGAGCAACAGGAAAUGAACACAUUGCAGGGGCCAGUGUCAUUCAAAGAUGUGGCUGUGGAUUUCACCCAGGAGGAGUGGCGGCAACUGGACCCUGAUGAGAAGAUAGCAUACGGGGAUGUGAUGUUGGAGAACUACAGCCAUCUAGUUUCUGUGGGGUAUGAUUAUCACCAAGCCAAACAUCAUCAUGGAGUGGAGGUGAAGGAAGUGGAGCAGGGAGAGGAGCCGUGGAUAAUGGAAGGUGAAUUUCCAUGUCAACAUAGUCCAGUACAGAACCUGCUAAGGCCAUCAAACCUAUUGAUCGGAAGUCAGUCCAUCAGAUUUGCUCUGGGCCAGUGGUACUGAGUCUAAGCACUGCAGUGAAGGAGUUAGUAGAAAACAGUCUGGAUGCUGGUGCCACUAAUAUUGAUCUAAAGCUUAAGGACUAUGGAGUGGAUCUCAUUGAAGUUUCAGACAAUGGAUGUGGGGUAGAAGAAGAAAACUUUGAAGGCUUAACGAUGUCACCAUUUCUACCUGCCACGCGUCGGUGAAGGUUGGGACUCGACUGGUGUUUGAUCACGAUGGGAAAAUCAUCCAGGAAACCCCCUACCCCCACCCCAGAGGGACCACAGUCAGCGUGAAGCAGUUAUUUUCUACGCUACCUGUGCGCCAUAAGGAAUUUCAAAGGAAUAUUAAGAAGACGUGCCUGCUUCCCCUUCGCCUUCUGCCGUGAUUGUCAGUUUCCUGAGGCCUCCCCAGCCAUGCUUCCUGUACAGCCUGCAGAACUGUGAGUCAAUUAAACCUCUUUUCUUCAUAAAUUA
This 1316-nucleotide long non-coding RNA is filed under the name Homo sapiens (human). Its description in RNAcentral is "non-protein coding lnc-HIP1-1:6". Lineage: Eukaryota; Metazoa; Chordata; Mammalia; Primates; Hominidae. The record is from RNAcentral.